Long non-coding RNA from Diorhabda sublineata, 3002 nucleotides. RefSeq lists it as uncharacterized. The record is from RefSeq and is a predicted model, not a curated record. NCBI's taxonomy places the organism in Eukaryota, Metazoa, Arthropoda, Insecta, Coleoptera, Chrysomelidae. The transcript has 4 exons.
GUCUCGGUUGGUUACUAUGCAAUACCAGUGAGCGAAGAAAACAGUCGCUGCUAAGCAGUCUUGAAUUGUGGUGUACGUUCUUGUGACAUGGAAUUUCUACCCUACAGAAGACAACUACGCAAUUUCCGUUGGGAUAUUUGUUACUGGAAAGAAAAGAAUUGGUGAUAUCUGGUCUAGUUGAUGGACCGAUAUCGACGGUAUCCUUUAUUUUGUUGCUGUUCCUCACCUGCCACCUUAGAAAACGAGCAGUCUUUGUAUUCCACUUCUUACUUGACUCAGUGCCUUUACUGGCAAACAGUAUCGGACUAGCAGAUAAGAAAAGGUAAGGUAAUUGGCCCAACAAACACAAAAAUAUAUUUAUUUUUUCACGUCACCUCCUUUUAGCUUAAACAAAGUUCAGACAUCACCUCUUAAUUGUUGGAAGGCUGCCGUCCCAAGUCUAGGAACGUAAAAUAACUCGAGGGGACUAAAUCUGGCAAAUAUAUACCGAUUUUCCUCAGUUUUUUCAGAGGUUUUCCUACAAAACUUCUUGCGCUAUUACAUCGCUCUCAUUUGAGGUUUAAACCCCACGUUACAAAAGUUUUCGCGCUCGCAUUUUCAUAUCCUAAUUGUGAUGACUUUAAGAAGUGGCGUUUGGUGAUGUACUAAGUUGGGGCCGCCAGUUUACAAGCUGAAAUGGCGCGCACCUUAUCGAUCCUGUUUUUUUGUAGCCAGCUCCAAGUCUAUUAGUUCUCAUCAAUCAGAUGCUUCAAAUUUGACCAGUUUUCACUACAGAUUCCUCUCUAAUAGAGUAUUUUCUUUCUUCAAAAAAUACCCAAAAUUUGUUGAUUUUGAUUUCCUGUACGGUAUUGUACGUUAUGUACCUCAACUUUUAUUUUUUCCAAACUAUCUCUUCGGACAAACGAAAUUUUAACAAGUUUUCAAAACGUGUCAAGAAAGCGUCGAAAGAAAAGGUCUUGUCACGUCCUUUUCAAUUCAUUUAAUCACCAAAUAUGAAAACCUAAAUAAUAAUUUGUCAAAAAUUCUAUAUAUUAUUUGAAAAUUGAGUUAAUAUCACAUCUCUAAAAAACUGAAAUAAUUCAAGUGCAAGGGACAUUAUAAGACACCAAAUAUAACUCCGAAUUGAUUACAAUAUAUGUGAAAAAAAUUAUUUUUAUUCAAAUAAGACGAAAUCGUAUCAUUUUGUGGUAAAAUCGAGUCAACACGAUGGACAUUUUACACUAAGGAAUCGGUUCUUUCGCGACUGAUUUGUUUCAUGGAUCGAGGGGACUUAACCUAUACCUAUACCAUAAAAACCAUAUAUUUUCCGUAUGUCUUCGUUUCUUCAUAUUUCAAAUUCAAUUUCUUUAUUUUUUCUUUAUGGCGGAAAACAUCUUAUGAUGUCUGAACUAAAUACGAAUACAGCAACAGCAUAGAAUCCUACAGCUUUUUUAUUGAUUUAUAAAGUCCGCGUUUUUGUUAUGGAUUGGAUAAAAAUGAUUGUUAUGUAAAUAAAUUUUAGAUUACGAGGUCUGGCUAUCAAAUAACGAGCCUAGAGGGCGCCCUAGACGGGUGGGGUAUCUAAAUAUCUUGUCUAUGUACGUCCCAAUCUCAAAUUUCUCGUUAAAUUGAAAAUAACUGCAACUGAGUGCUAUAAAUUGCUGCAAGAAGCCUAUGUGGACAAUUCUCUAUCUCGUGCGCGUGUUUUUGAGUAGUGUAACCGUUUUAGUGAUGGCCGAGAGUGCACUGAAGAUCACCAGGUUGCCCUGUGACUGUUUUAACUCCGGAAACAGUGACCAAAAUCAACCAAAUUAGAUCGUCGAAGUUGGUGCCAAAAAUCUGACUCCUGACCAAAAGCUGUUACGUCAACGGGUCUGCUUCAUAUUUCCUUGAAAGGUUAGGAAAAGAUCUGCUUUGAAAGGGACCCCAUUUGAGUCGAUGGAAGCGGCAAAACAAAAAAAUACAGAGCUCCUGAAGGCACUCACCAAAGAAGACUUCCAGCACUGCUGCGAUCAAUGGAAAAAAUGUUUGGAAAGGUGUGUGGCAAGGGGAUGGGAGUUUAUUGAAGGGGGGCAUUCGAAUGUAGAAUAAUUUUUAUAAUAAAACCCUUUUUCGUAACCAGUAUCGAUAUUUAUUAUAAAAACUUUUACAUUUCAAUUUAAUAUUAUCGUUUUGGCGGGUUUAUCAGUACAAUUUUUGAACAUUCAAGAACAAAUUAAUUAAAUCAAUUGUGGAAAUAUCCAAAUUCAAUUUUCCCAACCUCACAAAAGUGCUCGAAUAUUUAAUUUUAUUCACUUUUAUCAAAAAAACCAAUCGAAAUUUGUAUCAAAACGUUAAAUAGAUGUAGGUAUUGACUUUACGAAACACCGCGCGUAUUUAUCACGUUUUCGUAGUUUCCCGAGCGGAAAAGCGGAGAAAUCGAUGAAAAUUGUCUUAGACGAAGCUUUUAACGAACAACUGUGCGGUUUGUGGUAAUCGGACUAAUUACGCGGAGCUUGAUAAAAAGUUAAAUUUCUAGAUGUAAUGAACGUACGCCACUGUAUAAAUAAGUUAGUGACAUUUAAAGAGAGUUAUUGCGAUAAGAAAAUGAAGAAUCACGCAUUCAACGUAAAUAUUAUCUAAUAUGAUAACAACAAAAAAGUGAUAAUUCUAUAUAGCGGAAGUUGCGGCGCCAACAACGGGUCAUAAUUACAUAACUGAAAAAAAAAAAAUGUUUAUUCGCGUUAUUCCUGCAUUUCAUAAUCAUCCGUUUUGAUACAACGAAUUCGUUUUUAAUGUGUGGUAAAUUUUUUGUAUGCAGAAAAUCAUUUCUUAACGACUUCAGCUAAAGAUAGGACUGGGCUACGGGAAGGUCAUGGAAUAUAUCCUCAAUUGGGGAGAGUACGAUUUCCGCGGCGAUUUAACAGCUUAAUUAGGCCAAAAUAAAUCGAAAAUGAAGAAUGAAAUUUUUCGAUAUAUCGCUUCGUUUUCGAGAUAUCGAUACUUAAAGUUUGAUAAUCAAAAGUUAGUUCAAAAUUGGCUUU